Vicia faba (fava bean) is the source of this 315-nucleotide non-coding RNA. The record is from the annotation of a GenBank genome assembly. NCBI's taxonomy places the organism in Eukaryota, Viridiplantae, Streptophyta, Magnoliopsida, Fabales, Fabaceae.
UUUAAAUUCAUGCUGGAAUUUACCAAUUAUAUGUCAUGCUGGAAUUUAAAUUCAAAUUAUUUGAGCAUAAUUGUGUAUUCAAGAAAUAGAAAUGAGUCUUCUUUCAUACUAAAGUUUGAGAACAUCAAAAUCAUAGGAUGGAAAGAAUACUAUUUUGGGGCUUGUUUUCAAUGCAGCAUUUAUACUCAUUGCGACUUGAUGGGACUACAGAACAAUAUCAUAGAACCUCAAAAUGAAGAUUUUUAUUUUUCAUGUCCAUGUAGAUAUUCAAUCAAUGUUCAUAUUCAUCUACCAAACAACAGAAUUUGGAUGUAA